UACGUUCCCGGGCCUUGUACACACCGCCCGUCACACCAUGGGAGUUGGUUUUACCCGAAGGCGGCUUUGCCAACCCGAGAGGGGGGCGGCCGGCCACGGUAAGGUCAGCGACUGGGGUG
This 119-nucleotide ribosomal RNA is filed under the name uncultured bacterium. RNAcentral's name for it is "partial 16S ribosomal RNA". It matches the Rfam family "Bacterial small subunit ribosomal RNA", at positions 1367 to 1482 of the family's 1533-position model. The record is from RNAcentral.